Molecule: ribosomal RNA, 375 nt
Filed under: uncultured organism
Description: partial 16S ribosomal RNA
Rfam family: Bacterial small subunit ribosomal RNA
Source: RNAcentral
GUAGGUGGCAAGCGUUGGUCCGGAAUUAUUGGGCGUAAAGCGCGCGCAGCGGGGUCCUUUAAGUCUGGUGUGAAAGCCCACGGCUCAACCGUGGAGGGUCAUUGGAAACUGGGGGACUUGAGUACAGAAGAGGAAAGCGGAAUUCCAAGUGUAGCGGUGAAAUGCGUAGAGAUUUGGAGGAACACCAGUGGCGAAGGCGGCUUUCUGGUCUGUAACUGACGCUGAGGCGCGAAAGCGUGGGGAGCAAACAGGAUUAGAUACCCUGGUAGUCCACGCCGUAAACGAUGAGUGCUAAGUGUUAGGGGGUUUCCGCCCCUUAGUGCUGCAGCUAACGCAUUAAGCACUCCGCCUGGGGAGUACGGCCGCAAAGGCUGA